Molecule: long non-coding RNA, 1606 nt
Organism: Humulus lupulus (European hop)
Lineage: Eukaryota; Viridiplantae; Streptophyta; Magnoliopsida; Rosales; Cannabaceae
Exons: 4
Source: RefSeq, a predicted model, not a curated record
GACAGAGUAUUCGGGCAGCGAACCUAUCAAUUGUUUGUUCCCAUAAUGUAAAUGGUGUUUCAAAAGUACAUUUUGAGUUAUUAAAGACCAAGGUGUUCAAGGACUUCUAUGAGCUGUGGCCUAAGAAAUUUCGGUACAAGACAAAUGGUGUAACUCAGCGACGAUGGAUUGUAGUAAGCAAUCCCAGUCUUUGUGAUCUUAUCACAAAAUGGCUUGGAACAGAAGCUUGGAUUCGCAAUGUUGAUCUUCUGACUGGCCUCCGAGAAUGUGCGACAGAUGCAGAUCUGCAGCAAGAAUGGAAGAUGGUACCUUCUAGCUAAGAUCACGAGCAUUGAUGCAAAAGUAAUGUGUUAACAUGUUCUGGAAAUUUCACAUUGUAGGUUAGGAGGGUUAAUAAAAUGAGGCUUGCAGAAUACAUUGAAGGGCUGAGUGGUUUAAAGGUCUGGAUAAAAAAUUACAAGGUCUUGUUACUGCCUUUACUCAUGCAUACUUAUUUCCUGCAACUUUUCAAGCCUCUUUCUUCUUAUCAUUGUUAAGUGUCAUUGAAGUGGUCAUAGUUUUCUAUAGCUAUCAAAUGAUUUGUCUGCAGUACCGUGGAUCUCUCUUUUUCCUUCUUUCACUACAUGCUAAUUGUUGGGAAUACAUUAUUCUAACACCAUUUGGAAUUCGCAUAAUUAAAUCUUGUGUCAGUUAAUGAUCACUUGUAUAAAUGAUUAUUACAAGUGUAAGUAGUGCAAUUAAUUGGAUCUGUAUACUAAUGUAUUAUCUUCUCUUUUUUUCUUUUUUCUUUUUCCUUUUUGGGGUAUAAGUAUUUUCUAGUAAGUAGCUAAUAGUUGGUUCUUCCCUUUCCAAACUAUGAAUGAGAGUGACAGGAGGAAGGUUGUACCACGUGUCUGCAUAAUUGGAGGGAAAACUGCUCCUGGAUAUGAGAUUGCAAAAAAUAUUAUCAAACUUUGUCAUGUUGUUGCAGACAAAAUUAACAAUAAUAGUGAUAUGUGAGAGCUCCAUUGCGACACUAUCUUUUGGAACAUUUUGACAUCAACUUGAAUGAUGAGACAACUAAAAAAUGCAUUGAUGAACAAAUGAGAAAAGCUUGGAAGGGUCAUUGUGUUUAAUCGACCAACUUAUGAAGAGUUAGUUGAACGACUUAAUGAUACAACUUCCUGCCUUAAUGCUGCUAACGAACAACUUAGUGUAGUUGUGGAUAUACUUCGUCAUAACAAUUUGAUGGCACCGCCUCCACCACCUCCAACAGACCAAGCUUCAGAUGCAAAUUUAAGAGAGUUGCCAUCUAUUUCAGUUCGGGAGUCACAAGAUGAUUCUUAGUUUAUUUACAUUAAUUUACUAAGGAAUGAACUUUAUGAAUUUUUUUUUUAUUUUGGUAGGGGUAACCUUAAAAUGAUAACUUUAUGAAUUAUUUUAGUAUUGAACAUUAUAAAGAAUUUUAGCAUUAAACAUUUUAUUAUUGAAUGGUUUUUUUCUAGUUUAUUUCUAAUAUAUAACAUUUAUAAAUAACUGUUAUUAUCUUUUACCUACACAUAACCAUUAAAUUUGAACAAAAUAUAAAUUGUGUAACAAACCAAUAAAAUAAUGCUAUGUGGGCUAA